Non-coding RNA from Paramuricea clavata, 2230 nucleotides. Lineage: Eukaryota; Metazoa; Cnidaria; Anthozoa; Malacalcyonacea; Plexauridae. The record is from the annotation of a GenBank genome assembly.
AGCCGACUCAUGCCAUGCUUGUGGUACAUUUUUCGUUUAUUAGCCUAUACACUUGUACGCACGCGCACAAUUUGUGGUAGCUAUACUAAAGAUAAAGCGUGCGUUCAAAAUACCAACAAGAACUAGAGCCAUUAUUGUAUCAUUUGUAUGGUUCUCAUUUGCUAGACUUGCCACAAGUCGACCUCGAAGAAACGCAUUUCGUUCGAGGUCGACUUGUGGCAAGUCUACUCAUUUACAAUAACAUUAGUUCGACGCGAAUUUUAAUACAAGUAUGGUAUCAUAUUUCAUAAUACAACAAACAAUGUAAACUAGCCAUACAUUUUGCCGAACAUAACUUCGGCCCAUUUGGACAUAUUUUUUUCGUGAUAAUGUUAUUGGAACCAGAAUCGAAAACACUAUUUAUAGUGUUAUUUUCAAGCUUGUGUCUUGAGAUUUUCAUCUUUUAUUUCGGUAUUUACAGAAUAUUUAUAUUUUUAGCGCGGCCCAUGGAACGCACAUGAAAACAACGCGCUGUUAGGAAAACCGGAAAUCGAUUCUGUAGGUCGGCAUGAUUUGCACGUGCAUCGAUCUCCAUUACGUCUCCCGAAAAGGUCUUUUAUUUUUUUAAAAAGUCCAUAAAAUUUGCUUGCGGUUUAAGAUUUGUAUUCCUGCCUUUUGCACCAUAGCACGUAUCUCGUUAUUUUCAGGCCAGUGUGAACGCCUGAGCAGGCGUCUUGUUAAAUCAUAGGUCAGAGCCGGGGGCCAGUUGUUCAAAGGUGGGUUAGCGCUAACCCUGGGUUAAAAUUGAACCCGCUGUUUGGUUUGUGUGUUUCUACACGUCCGUGUUUAUUUCAAAACUUCAGAGAAGUAAACUCUUGUCGACCCAGACAAGAUUUCUGAAGAAACAUUUCCAGAUUCUUAGACAAGCUUUCGGGAAGUUUGCUUUGAAUUUUAGGUUAACCUAGGGUUAAGCUGAUGGACGUUCGAACAACCGCGGCCCCAGUGGUUAAUUUAAAUCAAUUAAACAGUCCAAUAGCCGUUAAGAGACUUUAAUAUCCGAAGAUUAGCAUCUUGAAACUCAAGAUAGGAGUCAAAACAAGUCGAUACUGCCUGUAAUUUCCUUUGUAAUUACGUCAUGCCAUAUCAGCUUGUAUAGAAGAUCGUUAUGUAUUGUAACUUUAGUUAGUUUGAUGAUGAUUUUUAAACAAAAUCGAAAUAUCACAAACUCAUUCUUGUCCUGUUUUGACUCAUAUAUCGAGUCUCAAGAUGCUAUGGAAUCUUCGGAUUGUGUUUUGUCUUAUAAAUAGCUAUUUAUUUCUCGCCCACCCAUUUCCCCUCGCUCUUUCUUUCGCCUUCGCCUUUGCCUCCCCCUAGCUUCCCCUCCCCCUCCCCUCCCCCCAUAAUAGCGCAUGCUAAGCAGGCUAUAAAAAGUUUGACACCUGGAUGUGUUUGGAAACCCAGGAACUACAGAACAGAACUAAAGAAACAGUCACAGGAUUUUCAGGAACAGUCUAGCAUGCCCAAUUAUACAGUGGGCUCACAAUUCAGAAAUAAAACUGUUGAGAAAAAUUGGCGGGAAAAUUACUUAUUCGUCGCAAAAACUGGCGAAAGAUAAUUAUUUGGAUUUAUGUAAGUCUUCGAAAUCUUGCAAUUCCUGUAGACCCUGGGUUUCCAAACACAGCACCCUACCUACAGCAAGCAACAAGGUCAGCAAAACCCGACCACAUGCAUAGCUACAGUAACAGUAUCUUACCUUCAAAUACAUUCAGUAAUAUAUAUAUAUAUAUAUAUAUAUAUAUACACAGCUAAUUCAAUAAAGGUUGUCCUUUGAAAACCUUAAACUGUAAAACCUUAAACUCUAAGCGCAAAGCAUUAUGGGAGUACGAUUUAAGCAGUUUAGAAAGCAUAUAUGGAGCCCAUUUCUUAGAGACAUGGUAAAUAUCUCCCUGCGAAAACAUUUCACUCACAAACAGCUGCAAUAUUCAACUACUAAGCUUGAAAUCAGUGCUCCCAUUAUGCUUUGCGCGCUUAGAGUUUAAGGUUUAGGGUUUAGAGUUUAAGGUUUGCAGAGGACAACCAGUUUUUGAAUUGGCUGUGUAUAUAUAUAUAUAUAUAGAUCACCUACAUUCAAUUGCUAUAUAAAGUCCCAUUUAAAGUCCUUUGUUGAAGUAUACAGUCUGCACGUCAGGACCUUGGCUUGCUCGUAUUUUGUCGCGAAGUUGCGGUUCAAGGUGCUCCACUUUCAUUGAAC